RNAcentral lists this ribosomal RNA (478 nucleotides) under uncultured bacterium. Its description in RNAcentral is "partial 16S ribosomal RNA". It matches the Rfam family "Bacterial small subunit ribosomal RNA", at positions 28 to 507 of the family's 1533-position model. The record is from RNAcentral.
GAUGAACGCUGGCGGCGUGCUUAACACAUGCAAGUCGAACGGGAAUUCUUUUAUUGAAACUUCGGUCGAUUUAAUUUAAUUCUAGUGGCGGACGGGUGAGUAACGCGUGGGUAACCUGCCUUAUACAGGGGGAUAACAGUCAGAAAUGGCUGCUAAUACCGCAUAAGCGCACAGAGCUGCAUGGCUCAGUGUGAAAAACUCCGGUGGUAUAAGAUGGACCCGCGUUGGAUUAGCUGGUUGGUGGGGUAACGGCCCACCAAGGCGACGAUCCAUAGCCGGCCUGAGAGGGUGAACGGCCACAUUGGGACUGAGACACGGCCCAGACUCCUACGGGAGGCAGCAGUGGGGAAUAUUGCACAAUGGGGGAAACCCUGAUGCAGCGACGCCGCGUGAAGGAAGAAGUAUCUCGGUAUGUAAACUUCUACCAGCAGGGAAGAUAGUGACGGUACCUGACGAAGAAGCCCCGGCUAACUACGUG